CAGAGUUGCCUCCAGAGCAGGGGUGCCUGUUCCUUCCUCACUCUUACAGCUCUAAUCAUCGCACCCCAUCUGAGGAUAAUUUGCACAUCUCACGUGAGGCCAGGACGCACACAGACAGAAGCGGGUACCUUGGUUUACUGUUCCACCCCAUAUCUUUCUUCAUCUCCCCUGUUCUUUCUGGAAUGCAGAGCAUGAGCAGCCCCGGGAACUCCGCAGGGAGCCUCAUUUUGAGAAUUUGAAACGAAGACUCCUGAUCAGCCAAGGAGAGAUUACAGCUGAGUUUUUAUCACAGAUUUACAAGAGAAAGUCCUCCCCUGGGACGAUAUGCAAAUCCUUCGUGGGGAUAGCCGAACAGAAAAACACUGGGAUAUAAAAAUUUCAUUUCAAAGUACAAGGAUUGAUGAUGGAAAAC
RNAcentral lists this long non-coding RNA (412 nucleotides) under Fukomys damarensis (Damara mole-rat). RNAcentral's name for it is "lncRNA (ENSFDAG00000023332.1)". Lineage: Eukaryota; Metazoa; Chordata; Mammalia; Rodentia; Bathyergidae. The record is from RNAcentral.